Schistosoma rodhaini is the source of this 78-nucleotide non-coding RNA. The record is from Rfam. Lineage: Eukaryota; Metazoa; Platyhelminthes; Trematoda; Strigeidida; Schistosomatidae.
AGCCUUCUGAAUCCGUCCCGAGAUUUUAUCAGACACCAGACCAUCAGUACUGAUGAGACUCUCAUGAUAAGUGAGAUG